GAGAGUUAUCCGUAACCUCCAACCCGUGUGAACUUACCGUCAUCGUUGCCUCGGCGGCGCUCGUGCGAGCGCCGCCGGCGGCCCAGCAACCUCUGUUAUUUUGUGAAUCUGAGCCUAAAAAAAACAAAUUGGAAAUUAAAACUUUCAACAACGGAUCUCUUGGCUCUGGCAUCGAUGAAGAACGCAGCGAAAUGCGAUAAGUAAUGUGAAUUGCAGAAUUUAGUGAAUCAUCGAAUCUUUGAACGCACAUUGCGCCCACCAGUAUUCUGGUGGGCAUGCCUGUUCGAGCGUCAUUUCAACCCCUUACGCCCUCGUCGCGUAGUGUUGGGAGGCUGCGGCGGAAGCGCCGCACCUCCUCAAAUCCAGUGGCGGAGUCGGUGGUCGUGCUCUAGGCGUAGUAGUUAACGUUGUUCUCGUCUCGCCUAGCGUCGCCCCGGCGGUCCUGCCGUGAAACCUCCCCCCCGCGGGGGAAUUUCUCUUAGAAGGUGA
RNAcentral lists this ribosomal RNA (489 nucleotides) under fungal endophyte. Its description in RNAcentral is "eukaryotic LSU rRNA". The stretch from base 140 to 293 matches the Rfam family "5.8S ribosomal RNA". Lineage: Eukaryota; Fungi. The record is from RNAcentral.